GACGAUUAUCUCGGUUCUUUUUUUAGCUUCAAUAAAAUAAAAACAAGAAAAACCUUGGAAAAAUCGACGAAACGUGAAAAAUCCGACGAAUCGGAACGUCGAAUCUUCCAAGUUUCAGCGAAAAUGUCUACACACACACAAAGAAAUACUUGGCAGCAGCAGCAGCGUGUGGACUCUUGACUGUGACGCAACUUGGCCUCAAUUUUUCCGUGCCGAGAAAAAUAAAAAAAGAU
Daphnia pulex (common water flea) is the source of this 233-nucleotide long non-coding RNA. RefSeq lists it as uncharacterized. Lineage: Eukaryota; Metazoa; Arthropoda; Branchiopoda; Diplostraca; Daphniidae. The transcript has 2 exons. The record is from RefSeq and is a predicted model, not a curated record.